CCCUUAGAUGUUCUGGGCUGCACGCGCGCUACACUGAUACUUUCAGCGAGUCCACCACCUUGCCUGAGAGGGUGGGGUAACCUCUGGAAAGUGUAUCGUGAUGGGGAUCGAUUAUUGUAAUUAUUAAUCUUCAACGAGGAAUUCCUAGUAAGCAUGUGUCAUCAGCCCGUGCUGAUUACGUCCCUGCCCUUUGUACACACCGCCCGUCGCUCCUACCGAUUGGGUGAUCCGGUAAAUAAUUCGGACCGGCGAGUUCUUCGGGGCUUCGCUGGGAAGUUUAGUGAACCUUAUCACCUAGAGGAAGGAGAAGUCGUAACA
RNAcentral lists this ribosomal RNA (318 nucleotides) under uncultured eukaryote. Its description in RNAcentral is "partial 18S ribosomal RNA". It matches the Rfam family "Eukaryotic small subunit ribosomal RNA", at positions 1470 to 1796 of the family's 1831-position model. The record is from RNAcentral.